This is a non-coding RNA of Ordospora pajunii, 82 nucleotides long. The record is from the annotation of a RefSeq genome assembly. Lineage: Eukaryota; Fungi; Microsporidia; Ordosporidae.
GGUGCUGUGGCCGAGCGGUCUAAGGCGACGGAUUUGAAAUCCGUUGGGGUUCCUCUCGCUGGUUCGAAUCCAGUCGGCAUCG